AUAGAUGUGGAAGUUUUCGGAUGGAAGCGUGUAUGACUGAGCGGCGGACGGGUGAGUAACGCGUGGGUAACCUGCCUCAUACAGGGGGAUAACAGUUAGAAAUGACUGCUAAUACCGCAUAAGCGCACAGGACCGCAUGGUCCGGUGUGAAAAACUCCGGUGGUAUGAGAUGGACCCGCGUCUGAUUAGCUGGUUGGUGAGGUAACGGCCCACCAAGGCGACGAUCAGUAGCCGACCUGAGAGGGUGGCCGGCCACAUUGGGACUGAGACACGGCCCAAACUCCUACGGGAGGCAGCAGUGGGGAAUAUUGCACAAUGGGGGAAACCCUGAUGCAGCAACGCCGCGUGAGUGAAGAAGUAUUUCGGUAUGUAAAGCUCUAUCAGCAGGGAAGAGAGUGACGGUACCUGACUAAGAAGCCCCGGCUAACUACGUGCCAGCAGCCGCGGUAAUACGUAGGGGGCAAGCGUUAUCCGGAUUUACUGGGUGUAAAGGGAGCGUAGACGGCUGUACAAGUCUGAAGUGAAAGCCCGUGGCUCAACCGCGGAACUGCUUUGGAAACUGUAAAGCUGGAGUACUGGAGAGGCAGGCGGAAUUCCUAGUGUAGCGGUGAAAUGCGUAGAUAUUAGGAGGAACACCAGUGGCGAAGGCGGCCUGCUGGACAGAAACUGACGUUGAGGCUCGAAAGCGUGGGGAGCAAACAGGAUUAGGUACCCUGGUAGUCCACGCGGUAAACGAUGAAUGCUAGGUAUUGGUGGGCAAAGCCCAUCGGUGCCGUCGCAAACGCAGUAAGCAUUCCACCUGGGGAGUACGUUCGCAAGAAUGAAACUCAAAGGAAUUGACGGGGACCCGCACAAGCGGUGGAGCAUGUGGUUUAAUUCGAAGCAACGCGAAGAACCUUACCAAGUC
Molecule: ribosomal RNA, 907 nt
Filed under: uncultured bacterium
Lineage: Bacteria
Description: bacterial SSU rRNA
Rfam family: Bacterial small subunit ribosomal RNA
Source: RNAcentral